RNAcentral lists this small nuclear RNA (107 nucleotides) under Vicugna pacos (alpaca). Lineage: Eukaryota; Metazoa; Chordata; Mammalia; Artiodactyla; Camelidae. The record is from RNAcentral.
GUGCCCAUUUUGGCAACACAUAUGUUAAAAUUGGAACAAUACCAGAAGAAGAUCAGCAUGGCCCUGCACAGGAUGACACGCAAAUUCACAAAGUGUCCCAUAUUUUU